Molecule: ribosomal RNA, 731 nt
Filed under: uncultured bacterium
Lineage: Bacteria
Description: bacterial SSU rRNA
Rfam family: Bacterial small subunit ribosomal RNA
Source: RNAcentral
CAGAAGGGGAUAACACUUGGAAACAGGUGCUAAUACCGUAUAACACUAUUUUCCGCAUGGAAGAAAGUUGAAAGGCGCUUUUGCGCCACUGAUGGAUGGACCCGCGGUGCAUUAGCUAGUUGGUGAGGUAACGGCUCACCAGGGCCACGAUGCAUAGCCGACCUGAGAGGGUGAUCGGCCACACUGGGACUGAGACACGGCCCAGACUCCUACGGGAGGCAGCAGUAGGGAAUCUUCGGCAAUGGACGAAAGUCUGACCGAGCAACGCCGCGUGAGUGAAGAAGGUUUUCGGAUCGUAAAACUCUGUUGUUAGAGAAGAACAAGGAUGAGAGUAAAACGUUCAUCCCUUGACGGUAUCUAACCAGAAAGCCACGGCUAACUACGUGCCAGCAGCCGCGGUAAUACGUAGGUGGCAAGCGUUGUCCGGAUUUAUUGGGCGUAAAGCGAGCGCAGGCGGUUUCUUAAGUCUGAUGUGAAAGCCCCCGGCUCAACCGGGGAGGGUCAUUGGAAACUGGGAGACUUGAGUGCAGAAGAGGAGAGUGGAAUUCCAUGUGUAGCGGUGAAAUGCGUAGAUAUAUGGAGGAACACCAGUGGCGAAGGCGGCUCUCUGGUCUGUAACUGACGCUGAGGCUCGAAAGCGUGGGGAGCGAACAGGAUUAGAUACCCUGGUAGUCCACGCCGUAAACGAUGAGUGCUAAGUGUUGGAGGGUUUCCGCCCUUCAGUGCUGCAG